GUGGGGAAUCUUCCGCAAUGGACGAAAGUCUGACGGAGCGACGCCGCGUGAGUGAAGAAGGCCUUCGGGUCGUAAAGCUCUGUCAUCAGGGACGAACGGCCGGUGGAGUGGAAAGCCACCGGAUUGACGGUACCUGAGAAGGAAGCCACGGCUAACUACGUGCCAGCAGCCGCGGUAAUACGUAGGUGGCAAGCGUUGUCCGGAAUUAUUGGGCGUAAAGCGCGCGCAGGUGGGAUCUUAAGUCCAUUUUGAAAGUUCGGAGCUCAACUCCGUGAUGGAAUGGAAACUGGGAUUCUUGAGUACCGGAGAGGAAAGCGGAAUUCCCCGUGUAGCGGUGAAAUGCGUAGAUAUGGGGAGGAACACCAGUGGCGAAGGCGGCUUUCUGGACGGUGUCUGACACUGAGGCGCGAAAGCCAGGGGAGCGAACGGGAUUAGAAACCCUUGUAGUCC
RNAcentral lists this ribosomal RNA (450 nucleotides) under uncultured bacterium. RNAcentral describes it as "partial 16S ribosomal RNA". It matches the Rfam family "Bacterial small subunit ribosomal RNA", at positions 354 to 796 of the family's 1533-position model. The record is from RNAcentral.